RNAcentral lists this small RNA (173 nucleotides) under Streptomyces rubrolavendulae. Its description in RNAcentral is "c-di-AMP sequence". It matches the Rfam family "c-di-AMP riboswitch aptamer (ydaO/yuaA leader)". Rfam says of the family: This family represents a conserved RNA structure found upstream of the ydaO and yuaA genes in Bacillus subtilis and related genes in other bacteria. The ydaO/yuaA element is thought to act as a genetic "off" switch for the ydaO and yuaA genes in its native state. Lineage: Bacteria; Bacillati; Actinomycetota; Actinomycetes; Kitasatosporales; Streptomycetaceae. The record is from Rfam by way of RNAcentral.
ACGCUUCGAGCGCCGUAGGCAGGAGCGGGGGACCCAAGGUAGGUGCCGGGCCCGGUCGUCGGGAGACGAGCGGAACCGGCUCGGGGUGAAGCCGCGCGCCACCCGGCGCGCGGCCGGGCACUCACCAGGCCCGAACCCGACAGCUCACCUCGCAGGCGUCGGUGAGGAGAUCC